AUUGAACGCUGGCGGCAGGCCUAACACAUGCAAGUCGAGCGGAUGACGGGAGCUUGCUCCUUGAUUCAGCGGCGGACGGGUGAGUAAUGCCUAGGAAUCUGCCUGGUAGUGGGGGACAACGUUUCGAAAGGAACGCUAAUACCGCAUACGUCCUACGGGAGAAAGCAGGGGACCUUCGGGCCUUGCGCUAUCAGAUGAGCCUAGGUCGGAUUAGCUUGUUGGUGAGGUAAUGGCUCACCAAGGCGACGAUCCGUAACUGGUCUGAGAGGAUGAUCAGUCACACUGGAACUGAGACACGGUCCAGACUCCUACGGGAGGCAGCAGUGGGGAAUAUUGGACAAUGGGCGAAAGCCUGAUCCAGCCAUGCCGCGUGUGUGAAGAAGGUCUUCGGAUUGUAAAGCACUUUAAGUUGGGAGGAAGGGUUGUAGAUUAAUACUCUGCAAUUUUGACGUUACCGACAGAAUAAGCACCGGCUAACUCUGUGCCAGCAGCCGCGGUAA
Molecule: ribosomal RNA, 500 nt
Filed under: uncultured bacterium
Lineage: Bacteria
Description: partial 16S ribosomal RNA
Rfam family: Bacterial small subunit ribosomal RNA
Source: RNAcentral